UCGGGAAUUUUCCACAAUGGACGAAAGUCUGAUGUAGCAACGCCGCGUGCAGGAUGAAGGCCCUAGGGUCGUAAACUGCUUUUAUGAGUGAUGAAUAUGACAGUAGCUCAAGAAUAAGGGUCGGCUAACUACGUGCCAGCAGCCGCGGUCAUACGUAGGACCCAAGCGUUAUCCGGAAUUACUGGGCGUAAAGAGUUGUGUAGGCGGCUUGUUAAGCAAAGUGUGAAAUCGUGUGGCUCAACCAUAUACACAUAUUUUGAACUGGCAAGCUAGAGGGCCAGAGAGGUUAUUGGAAUUGCUAGUGUAGGAGUGAAAUCCGUAGAUAUUAGCAGGAACACCGAUGGCGUAGGCAGAUAACUGGCUCGCACCUGACGCUCAGACACGAAAGCGUGGGUAGCAAACGGGAUUAGAUACCCCAGUAGUCCCUGAGCGGGCUGGCAAGGCGCAU
RNAcentral lists this ribosomal RNA (448 nucleotides) under uncultured bacterium. Its description in RNAcentral is "bacterial SSU rRNA". It matches the Rfam family "Bacterial small subunit ribosomal RNA", at positions 355 to 825 of the family's 1533-position model. The record is from RNAcentral.